Parasteatoda tepidariorum (common house spider) is the source of this 469-nucleotide long non-coding RNA. The record is from RefSeq and is a predicted model, not a curated record. Lineage: Eukaryota; Metazoa; Arthropoda; Arachnida; Araneae; Theridiidae.
UGUACUGUGAGAAUUGAAUUCUAAUAGUCUAACUUUUGAAUGAAAGGCCACCAUCUUUGGAUGUGAUAAAUUUUCCCUCAACGUCAUCUUUGACUUUCACAGGAAAAGAAUAUUUGCAAGGUUCUGAAGUUCGACAUUCACAGUCAUCCCUAAUGACCAAAAAAUCUGCUAACUCUUCUGAUUUUCCAAGACCUCGUUCUUUUACAAGGACUGAUGUUUUUAACUCAUCUUGGUAAGUUCUAUUUUGUGUCUUCUUAAGAAUUCUUCCAUAGCAAAAAGUUAGUUGCUCUAAUACACAAUAAAAAUAAUACCACAUUUUAUAAAAUUCCUAUCCUUGGCCUAAAAUGAGUUAAAUCAAGAAAUUGGUUUGCAUAUCAUCAUGUAUUAACCAAACAAUUUAUUAAUUUUUAGAUUCUCCUAGACCUCAAUCAUCAAGAAUGUCUGAUGUUCCUUUUAACCUUCCUGGUAA